GUGCCAGCAGCCGCGGUAAUACCGGCAGCCCGAGUGAUGGCCGAUCUUAUUGGGCCUAAAGCGUCCGUAGCUGGCCGCGCAAGUCCGUCGGGAAAUCCACCCGCCCAACGGGUGGGCGUCCGGCGGAAACUGCACAGCUUGGGACCGGAAGGCUCGAAGGGUACGUUCGGGGUAGGAGUGAAAUCCCAUAAUCCCGCACGGACCACCGAUGGCGAAAGCACGUCGAGAGAACGGAUCCGACAGUGAGGGACGAAAGCCAGGGUCUCCAACCGGAUUAGAUACCCUUGUAGUCC
Molecule: ribosomal RNA, 293 nt
Filed under: uncultured bacterium
Lineage: Bacteria
Description: partial 16S ribosomal RNA
Rfam family: Archaeal small subunit ribosomal RNA
Source: RNAcentral